RNAcentral lists this ribosomal RNA (324 nucleotides) under uncultured Euglyphida. Its description in RNAcentral is "SSU rRNA". The stretch from base 68 to 324 matches the Rfam family "Eukaryotic small subunit ribosomal RNA", at positions 697 to 955 of the family's 1831-position model. Lineage: Eukaryota; Cercozoa; Imbricatea; Euglyphida. The record is from RNAcentral.
GAUUUCUGGUAGAUCGUUCUGGCCCGCAUUCCUCCCGGUUUGUGAGCGCUGGCGCGGUCUUCCAUCCUUCUAGAAAGCCAUGCCUACUCUUUACUGAGCUGGGUAUGCGCGUUCUAGAUCGUUUACUUUGAAAAAAUUAGAGUGUUUAAAGCAGGCUUACGCUGUGAAUACAUUAGCAUGGAAUAAUAAUUUAGGACUUCGGUUCUAUUUUGUUGGUUUCUAGGACUGAAGUAAUGAUUGAUAGGGACAGUUGGGGGUGCUAGUAUUCCGCGGCCAGAGGUGAAAUUCUUGGAUUCGCGGAAGACUAACUACUGCGAAAGCAUU